AGAGUUUGAUCAUGGCUCAGGACGAACGCUGGCGGCGUGCCUAAUACAUGCAAGUCGAGCGAAUCGGAUGGGAGCUUGCUCCCGGAUGAUUAGCGGCGGACGGGUGAGUAACACGUGGGCAACCUGCCCGUAAGAUUGGGAUAACUCCGGGAAACCGGUGCUAAUACCGAAUAGUUUCUGACACCUCAUGGUGUCAGAGGGAAAGUUGGCUUUCGAGCUAACACUUACGGAUGGGCCCGCGGCGCAUUAGCUAGUUGGUGAGGUAACGGCUCACCAAGGCGACGAUGCGUAGCCGACCUGAGAGGGUGAUCGGCCACACUGGGACUGAGACACGGCCCAGACUCCUACGGGAGGCAGCAGUAGGGAAUCUUCCGCAAUGGACGAAAGUCUGACGGAGCAACGCCGCGUGAGCGAAGAAGGCCUUCGGGUCGUAAAGCUCUGUUGUCAGGGAAGAACAAGUGCCAUUCGAAUAGGUUGGCACCUUGACGGUACCUGGCCAGAAAGCCACGGCUAACUACGUGCCAGCCGCCGCGGUAAUUC
Molecule: ribosomal RNA, 540 nt
Filed under: uncultured bacterium
Lineage: Bacteria
Description: bacterial SSU rRNA
Rfam family: Bacterial small subunit ribosomal RNA
Source: RNAcentral